AACAUGCAGUCGAGCGGUAGCACAGAGAGCUUGCUCUCGGGUGACGAGCGGCGGACGGGUGAGUAAUGUCUGGGAAACUGCCUGAUGGAGGGGGAUAACUACUGGAAACGGUAGCUAAUACCGCAUAACGUCGCAAGACCAAAGUGGGGGACCUUCGGGCCUCAUGCCAUCAGAUGUGCCCAGAUGGGAUUAGCUAGUAGGUGGGGUAACGGCUCACCUAGGCGACGAUCCCUAGCUGGUCUGAGAGGAUGACCAGCCACACUGGAACUGAGACACGGUCCAGACUCCUACGGGAGGCAGCAGUGGGGAAUAUUGCACAAUGGGCGCAAGCCUGAUGCAGCCAUGCCGCGUGUGUGAAGAAGGCCUUCGGGUUGUAAAGCACUUUCAGCGGGGAGGAAGGCGUUAAGGUUAAUAACCUUGUCGAUUGACGUUACCCGCAGAAGAAGCACCGGCUAACUCCGUGCCAGCAGCCGCGGUAAUACGGAGGGUGCAAGCGUUAAUCGGAAUUACUGGGCGUAAAGCGCACGCAGGCGGUCUGUCAAGUCGGAUGUGAAAUCCCCGGGCUCAACCUGGGAACUGCAUUCGAAACUGGCAGGCUAGAGUCUUGUAGAGGGGGGUAGAAUUCCAGGUGUAGCGGUGAAAUGCGUAGAGAUCUGGAGGAAUACCGGUGGCGAAGGCGGCCCCCUGGACAAAGACUGACGCUCAGGUGCGAAAGCGUGGGGAGCAAACAGGAUUAGAUACCCUGGUAGUCCACGCCGUAAACGAUGUCGAUUUGGAGGUUGUGCCCUUGAGGCGUGGCUUCCGGAGCUAACGCGUUAAAUCGACCGCCUGGGGAGUACGGCCGCAAGGUUAAAACUCAAAUGAAUUGACGGGGGCCCGCACAAGCGGUGGAGCAUGUGGUUUAAUUCGAUGCAACGCGAAGAACCUUACCUGGUCUUGACAUCCACAGAACUUUCCAGAGAUGGAUUGGUGCCUUCGGGAACUGUGAGACAGGUGCUGCAUGGCUGUCGUCAGCUCGUGUUGUGAAAUGUUGGGUUAAGUCCCGCAACGAGCGCAACCCUUAUCCUUUGUUGCCAGCGGUUAGGCCGGGAACUCAAAGGAGACUGCCAGUGAUAAACUGGAGGAAGGUGGGGAUGACGUCAAGUCAUCAUGGCCCUUACGACCAGGGCUACACACGUGCUACAAUGGCAUAUACAAAGAGAAGCGACCUCGCGAGAGCAAGCGGACCUCAUAAAGUAUGUCGUAGUCCGGAUUGGAGUCUGCAACUCGACUCCAUGAAGUCGGAAUCGCUAGUAAUCGUAGAUCAGAAUGCUACGGUGAAUACGUUCCCGGGCCUUGUACACACCGCCCGUCACACCAUGGGAGUGGGUUGCAAAAGAAGUAGGUAGCUUAACCUUCGGGAGGGCGCUUACNACAG
RNAcentral lists this ribosomal RNA (1417 nucleotides) under Klebsiella sp. GBK1. RNAcentral's name for it is "bacterial SSU rRNA". It matches the Rfam family "Bacterial small subunit ribosomal RNA". Lineage: Bacteria; Pseudomonadati; Pseudomonadota; Gammaproteobacteria; Enterobacterales; Enterobacteriaceae. The record is from RNAcentral.